Non-coding RNA from Caenorhabditis elegans, 21 nucleotides. The record is from Ensembl. NCBI's taxonomy places the organism in Eukaryota, Metazoa, Nematoda, Chromadorea, Rhabditida, Rhabditidae.
UGGUUAAAUUCUCCGUUAAUA